This is a long non-coding RNA of Meriones unguiculatus (Mongolian gerbil), 1601 nucleotides long. RefSeq lists it as uncharacterized. Lineage: Eukaryota; Metazoa; Chordata; Mammalia; Rodentia; Muridae. The record is from RefSeq and is a predicted model, not a curated record. The transcript is spliced from 3 exons.
AUUUUGUCAGCCCUGGCAGACCUUUUAAAUGUGUUUAGCUACAAGGGAGUAAACAAAUACGGAUACCUUGAGUGAGCAUCUCAGUGGCUGGGGAGAAGCUUGCUAGACUAUGCUCCCAACGUUUCCAGGCCUGGCCCUCUCUCUGCGGAGUGAGGAGUGUCUGUUGGGUGGCUGCCCAGCGAGGGGCGGGGCUAAAGCAAAGUGGUACGUGUUGACGGUGCACCGUGGGUCACUAUGUCCUCUCCUGUUUCCUGCGAUGAAGACUGAAGAACCAGGAACUUGAGGGAGUUCAUGCUCCGACCCCCUUCCAGUCCUACAAGCCUGGAUGACUCCACAGUCCCAGUCAGGUGCUGAGGGCCCAGACAGUUCCUGGAGGAUAACUGGUCUUCACACUGAAAGGCAGAAGAAGCGGGGCCAUGACGACAGCGGAAGAUGGCAGCAGUGGUGGCAGCAGCUUUGGUGGUCACAGUCAUAGCAGCAGCAGCAGCUAGUGGCCAUGGUGGAUGUGGCAGCAGCGUCUGUGGUGGCAAUGGUGGCUGCAGGAACAGCAACAAUGGUGGAAACAGUGGUGGAAAGAGCAGCACAGUGUCUUCAUUCGAACGUUGAAACACCACGUACAGUAGCUUAAACAUGCCAAACAAUGCUAUAUAUUGCUUUUCGUUCCAUCCAUAAUAACGAAUGUACACUAUCUACAAAUAAGCAUAGCAAUGGAGUCGGUAUUUUUACUUUCUGGAUAUAAAAUAGAACAGUAAGACAUGCCGUGGAGGAUGGUUCUCAGACCCAGGGGACCACAGAAAGGUUUUUAACUUGACUGGGAAUGCCUCAAGGCAGCCUUGUGACCUGCGAGCCAGCUGGCUUGCAGCCUCCUUGAGCUCUUGCCUUUGCUGUCCUCAGAGCAGUGGACACGGCAUUGGCUUUCACUCGCUCCCCAGGCCUCCUCUCCUGCUAGUCUGGUCACCCCCCUCUGUGGCAGCUGCAGCACAUGUGUUGCUUGAGAUGCUUCAGACUACAACUAGGAGGGCGUCGUUAGCAUGUUUUCCCUUCUUUGCCAAAGUCCUCCUCGAGCGGCCUCUUGAGAUUCCUGAACGGUGACUCCGUGGUGGAACCGGCUGACUCCUGCAGCCGCUGUGGUUAUCAUACUCUGCACUCAGAGGCUGGCCGGAACCGGGAGGGCCCCUUAAGCAGCUUGAGUUUCCUCUGCCGGGAGAACGGCGAACGGCGAGAAGAAUGUAUCCCAGCUCCUGCGCCAGAAGCUGGCCCUUCUCAAGGGCAGUGUCUGAGAGUACUUGGAAACGCUGGCUUUGCUUUACUUACUGAAGCCUGCAUUUUAAAAACGCGUUUUGCUUUUGGAAUUGUACACUAUUUUACAUUGAUACUUACACAUUUCUAUUGAAAUGAUCAUGUUUUGUUUUUUAUGAUCAUGUUUCUUAACUAGUAAAUUCUAAAAUCAUUCUCUUCUGUGACUGUAUUAAAAUCUAUACACCUUCCAUCACCCCCCAAAAUGUUCUCUCUCCAGCUUUUAGUCAACUAAAAUGUCCUCCCCUAAAAUACACCAAGAAGCUGCGCUCUUGACUAGUCAUCAGAGCACAGGGUGACAGUCC